GCGCCCGUACGCCAAGGGCUGGAGCGGCAGAUUUUAGGGGUCUGUGUUUGUCGGUUCGAAUCCGACCGGGCGCA
This 74-nucleotide transfer RNA is filed under the name Streptomyces beijiangensis. RNAcentral describes it as "tRNA-Leu". It matches the Rfam family "tRNA". Rfam says of the family: Transfer RNA (tRNA) molecules are approximately 80 nucleotides in length. Their secondary structure includes four short double-helical elements and three loops (D, anti-codon, and T loops). Lineage: Bacteria; Bacillati; Actinomycetota; Actinomycetes; Kitasatosporales; Streptomycetaceae. The record is from RNAcentral.